CAGUAGCUUAAGAAUUUUGUUCCAGAAGCUGAAGUAUUCACCCACCUUCCCCCAGGCUGUGACAUUCGUGUCUGGCAGGCUCCUGAUACUGCCCCCACCAAUGGCCUGUCAUCAGUCGGUUCCCACCCUAUACCUCAACUUAGCAGAAUUCGAGGAAGCCAAAUGACAAGUCUCUUCUUGGACUCAGGAUGACCUGACAUGCUGUGGGCUUCUGCAAGUCCAGUCCACUCACUCAACUCCGCCCUGAAUGACCCAAAGGUGACAAUUGCCGAACCUGCUUCUCUUCCUCCCUCUCGUUAAGCAAGUCAGCCUGGGAGGCCUCACAUAAAUGGAAGCUUCUACUAGCUGCCUCUCUGAACAGUUUCACAUGGAAACCAACAGCCAAGCUGUGAGAAAACUCAAGCAACCUGACAAGGAGACCA
Ochotona princeps (American pika) is the source of this 422-nucleotide long non-coding RNA. RefSeq lists it as uncharacterized. The transcript is spliced from 3 exons. Lineage: Eukaryota; Metazoa; Chordata; Mammalia; Lagomorpha; Ochotonidae. The record is from RefSeq and is a predicted model, not a curated record.